AGUGAACGCUGGCGGUAGGCCUAACACAUGCAAGUCGAACGGCAGCACAGUAAGAGCUUGCUCUUACGGGUGGCGAGUGGCGGACGGGUGAGGAAUACAUCGGAAUCUACUUUUUCGUGGGGGACAACGUCGGGAAACUUACGCUAAUACAGCAUACGACCUACGGGUGAAAGCAGGGGAUCUUCGGACCUUGCGCGAUCGAAUGAGCCGAUGUCGGAUUAGCUAGUUGGCCGGGUAACGGCCCACCAAGGCGACGAGCCGUAGCUGGUCUGAGAGGAUGAUCAGGCACACUGGAACUGAGACACGCUCCAGACUCCUACGGGAGUCAGCAGUGGGGAAUAUUGGCCAAUGGGCGCAAGCCUGAUCCAGGCAUACCGCGUGGGUGAAGAAGGCCUUCGGGUUGUAAAGCCCUUUUGUUGGGAAAGAAAAGCAGUAGGUUAACACCCCGCUGUUCUGACGGUACCCAAAGAAUAAGCACCGGCUGACUUCGUG
Molecule: ribosomal RNA, 492 nt
Filed under: uncultured bacterium
Lineage: Bacteria
Description: partial 16S ribosomal RNA
Rfam family: Bacterial small subunit ribosomal RNA
Source: RNAcentral